CGACUCCUUGGGGGCGUCCUCGCAGUGCGGGUGGGGGGCGGGCCAGAGGGAGCGUCCCUCUCAGAGACACCCUCCUCUCCUACCCGCCACGCGCUCUUCGCUGGCCUGUGGGACACAGGCCUCCCCCCCACCUCCCCUUCUCGGCCUUCGCGAGUGUGGGCGCCUCGGGGCACUGGCGAGCCGCUCCAGAAAAGGAAACUGAGGCCCAGGCAGAGGGAGGAGAGGCAGCUGUGGCGUGCAGUGGCGUGCAGAGCAAGGGAUUGGUGAACAGAGAAAGGGAUCGCAGCUCCCCACCAGACUUGACUUUUCAUAUGCCAGGAUGGAUGGGGAGCAGAGGCGAAAUGUGGGUGCACACCAAUACUGUCUAAAUAAGGCAGGCGGCAGCUAUACUGAAGAAUCUACCUAAGUUUUCAGCAAGAAGACUCUCAAAAGAUCUCAGAGCUAGGCUAUUUCUGGUGAUCACAGGAAGAAGAAAAUGCACCUAUAGAAACCCAGAAGCUCGUAUGUACAUUUAGCUAUUCACACGAGCAUGCUUACACACAGGCACACAAACGUAUGCACGUUUCUGACAUUUACAGACCUGGGCUUUCUCAUUUUUACCUCCCCUGAAAAAGCAACUUCUGUUUAUACCUCAUCUCCGUUCCACACUCCCCUUCACACAAACAAUCCUCAAGUCUUGAACUAAAGGAAUAUUACAAAUUUAAAAAAAGAAGAUGACUUCACAGGGGCAAAUUGGGAACUUGCAAUUACACUAAAAGACAGAACUGCAUCAAAACUGACUUUCUGGAGGUUAUCAUACGUUGGUAGAAGAGAGGGGUUAAGUAUCCCAGGCAGGGAGUCAAGCCCUCAAAAGGAAGACAACCAGAACCCUCAUCCAGGUAUUCGAGAUCACAACUCUGCUGAGAAAUACAUCGUGGUUUCAGUUUCCCCUUUACCUCUGGCAAAGAACACUGUGGUCAUGACCUGGGAACAGUGGGCAGAACUUGGAGCCAGGUGCCAGAGGAUGCCCCACCCUGCCCGUCAGAGUCCACCUCUCACCAAAAGCAAGAGCAGCCCUCUCAACCCAAACCACACUUCAGGGUUGGGUAUGUGGGUCCCUGUGUGGUUCCAUUUCCUUUGGCAUCCCUUCAGGAUUCACAAGGGAGGUUUUGAGGCUUAUGAGGGUGGUGUCUCUGCCCUUUGGGUCACUUGGCCCUUAGAAGUAUGGGCAACCUUUGGCAGGCUAGACAUGGCACAUGGCUAAUAAUUAAUAAUAACUGCUUUUACUGUGCCUGCAUGCAUGCUAAGUCGCUUCAGUUGUCUCUGACUCUGCGACCCCAUGGGCUGUAGCCCGCCAGGCUCCUCUGUCCAUAGGAUUCUCCAGGCAAGCAUCCUGGAGUGGGGUGCCAUGCCCUCCUCUGGGCAAUCUUCCCAUCCCAGGGGUCAAACCCACUUCUCUUACGUCUCCUGUAUUGGCAGGUGGGCUCCUUACCCUAGUGCCACCUGGGAAGUCCUCAUUAAAUGACUGGCACUGCAAUACAUUUUUUCCUAGGUUGUUUCAUUCGAUCCUCAUAGAAACUGGGAGGUAAGUCACAUAAACAUCCCCAUUUUAUCUAUGAGGCAUGGAGAGCUUGUCACUUGUCCAAAGUCCCACAGGUACAGGAUGGCAGAGCUGGAAUACAUAUCCAGGUUGACAUGAUGCUGAAGCCUUUCAUUGCAAAUAUACUGCCUUCAAGCAAUGAGGGAAACCAUCUACUGUCAUCCAGGCAACUGCGUAGGUUGGGGUCCUUCAGGAAACAGGGCACACUCCCAUGGGGUAAUUGAGGAAUGUCUAAUGAAGAGUCUAUUUAAGAAGGUAUGGGCAGGGUUAAAGGCAAACCAACAGGGGCAGGGAAACAUCCCAACCGUAGUCACUGCAGGGAUCCUGUUCCCAUCCCCUGGGGCUGAGGACGGCGGCAAGCAAAGAGAGUGGUUCCUCGAACCCAGAGAAACUGAAGUUGUUGCAAAGAGUGGAGAGGCCCACCUUUCAUGAACCCUGGCCUUGGGUAAGGAAGCCAACCUGAGCUGACUUGGCAGGGAAGGAGCGGGGGACAGAAAACCUGAUCUCAUCUUUCUCCCUCCAAGCUCUGCGAGGACUUUCGAUUGACCAAAUCCUAUGAGAAAUGGAAGGUAAGAGAGCCCGUUCAAUUCAGUUCAGUCGCUCAGUCGUGUCCGACUCUUUGCGACCCCAUGAAUCGCAGCAUGCCAUGCCUCCCUAUCCAUCACCAACUCCCGGAGUUCACUCAAACUCACGUCCAUCGAGUCGGUGAUGCCAUCCAGCCAUCUCAUCCUCUGUUGUCCCCUUCUCCUCCUGCCCCCAAUCCCUCCCAGCAUCAGAG
Bos taurus (domestic cattle) is the source of this 2357-nucleotide long non-coding RNA. The record is from Ensembl. NCBI's taxonomy places the organism in Eukaryota, Metazoa, Chordata, Mammalia, Artiodactyla, Bovidae.